Molecule: ribosomal RNA, 253 nt
Filed under: uncultured bacterium
Lineage: Bacteria
Description: partial 16S ribosomal RNA
Rfam family: Bacterial small subunit ribosomal RNA
Source: RNAcentral
UACGUAGGCAGCGAGCGUUGUUCGGAGUUACUGGGCGUAAAGGGUGUGUAGGCGGUUCUUUAAGUUUGGUGUGAAAUCUCCCGGCUCAACCGGGAGGGUGCGCCGAAUACUGAGGGACUAGAGUAUGGGAUGGGAAAGUGGAAUUCCUGGUGUAGCGGUGAAGUGCGUAGAUAUCAGGAGGAACACCUGUGGUGUAGACGGCUUUCUGGACCGUAACUGACGCUGAAACACGAAAGCGUGGGUAGCAAACAGG